GUCCUUUUGUUAAAAUAAAAGGUCUGACCUGCCCAGUGAGGUUUUAAACGGCCGCGGUAUUUUGACCGUGCGAAGGUAGCAUAAUCAUUAGUCCUUUAAUUGUGGGCUUGUAUGAAAGGUUGGACGAGUGGAAGACUGUCUUUAUUUGUAAUAUUGAAUUUUACUUUUGAGUGAAAAGGCUUAAAUGAUUUAGGAGGACGAUAAGACCCUGUAGAUCUUUAUAUUUAAAUAUUAAUUUUUGUAGUUGGUAAUGAAUAAAUUUGCUAUUUGACUAUUGCGUUGGGGCGACGAGAAGGUAAAAUAAACUCUUCUUAAUAUAAUUACUUUUAAGUAUUUCUGUGAUCCUUUAUUAAUGAUUAAUAGACUAAGUUACCUCAGGGAUAACAGCGUAAUUUUUUUUGAGAGUUCAUAUCGACAAGAGAGAUUGCGACCUCGAUGUUGGAUUAAGAUUUUGU
This 455-nucleotide ribosomal RNA is filed under the name Lepisma sp. GG-1997. Its description in RNAcentral is "partial 16S ribosomal RNA". It matches the Rfam family "Bacterial large subunit ribosomal RNA", at positions 1819 to 2548 of the family's 2925-position model. RNAcentral also lists the same sequence under 1 other name. The record is from RNAcentral. Lineage: Eukaryota; Metazoa; Arthropoda; Insecta; Zygentoma; Lepismatidae.